ACGAAGGGGGCUAGCGUUGUUCGGAAUUACUGGGCGUAAAGCGCUCGCAGGCGGAUCGAUAAGUCAGGGGUGAAAUCCCGGGGCUCAACCUCGGAAUUGCCUUUGAUACUGUCAAUCUCGAGUCCGGGAGAGGUGAGUGGAACUGCGAGUGUAGAGGUGAAAUUCGUAGAUAUUCGCAAGAACACCAGUGGCGAAGGCGGCUCACUGGCCCGGUACCGACGCUGAGGUGCGAAAGCGUGGGGAGCAAACAGGA
Molecule: ribosomal RNA, 253 nt
Filed under: uncultured prokaryote
Description: partial 16S ribosomal RNA
Rfam family: Bacterial small subunit ribosomal RNA
Source: RNAcentral